AGCCGUGAGUUAUGCACAAAGCGAACUAUUCUUUCGCCUUUUACUAAAGAAUACCGUGUGCAUGUCUCAUCAAACGGCAUACGCUUAUUAGUUCAAAAUUUAUUUAUUUUAAUUA
This is a small nuclear RNA of Lotus japonicus, 115 nucleotides long. RefSeq annotates it as U5 spliceosomal RNA. The record is from RefSeq and is a predicted model, not a curated record. NCBI's taxonomy places the organism in Eukaryota, Viridiplantae, Streptophyta, Magnoliopsida, Fabales, Fabaceae. The transcript has a single exon.